GGCCCUUCGGGGUGCUGACGAGUGGCGGACGGGUGAGUAAUGCUUAGGAAUCUGCCUAGUUGUGGGGGAUAACCCGGGGAAACUCGGGCUAAUACCGCAUACGCCCUACGGGGGAAAGCGGGGGACUUUCGGGCCUCGCGCUAUUAGAUGAGCCUAAGUCCGAUUAGCUAGUUGGUAGGGUAAUGGCCCACCAAGGCGACGAUCGGUAGCUGGUCUGAGAGGACGACCAGCCACACUGGGACUGAGACACGGCCCAGACUCCUACGGGAGGCAGCAGUGGGGAAUAUUGGACAAUGGGCGCAAGCCUGAUCCAGCGAUGCCGCGUGUGUGAAGAAGGCCUGCGGGUUGUAAAGCACUUUCAGUAGGGAAGAAAAGCCGAGUGCUAAUAUCACUCGGUCUUGACGUUACUUACAGAAGAAGCACCGGCUAACUCCGUGCCAGCAGCCGCGGUAAUACGGAGGGUGCGAGCGUUAAUCGGAAUUACUGGGCGUAAAGGGCGCGUAGGCGGUUUGGUAAGUCGGGUGUGAAAGCCCCGGGCUCAACCUGGGAAUUGCAUUCGAUACUGCCUGGCUAGAGUAUGGUAGAGGGAAGCGGAAUUCCGGGUGUAGCGGUGAAAUGCGUAGAUAUCCGGAGGAACACCAGUGGCGAAGGCGGCUUCCUGGACCAAUACUGACGCUGAGGCGCGAAAGCGUGGGG
This 696-nucleotide ribosomal RNA is filed under the name uncultured Pseudomonadota bacterium. RNAcentral describes it as "bacterial SSU rRNA". It matches the Rfam family "Bacterial small subunit ribosomal RNA", at positions 74 to 766 of the family's 1533-position model. Lineage: Bacteria; Pseudomonadati; Pseudomonadota. The record is from RNAcentral.